GGGCCCGCACAAGCGGUGGAGCAUGUGGUUUAAUUCGAUGCAACGCGAAGAACCUUACCAGGGUUUGACAUGAUACGAAUUUCUUUGAAAGAAGAAAGUGCCGUUUGGAACGUAUACACAGGUGGUGCAUGGCUGCCGUCAGCUCGUGUCGUGAGAUGUUGGGUUAAGUCCCGCAACGAGCGCAACCCUUGUUUUAGUUGCCUUUUAUGGAACUCUAAAAAGACUGCCGGUUAUAAACCGGAGGAAGGUGGGGAUGACGUCAAGUCAGCAUGCCCCUUACACCCUGGGCUACACACGUGCUACAUUGGGCGAGACAAUGAGAUGCAAAUCUGUGAAGACUAGCUAAUCUAUAAACUCGUUCUAAGUUCGGAUUGUAGGCUGCAACUCGCCUGCAUGAAGCUGGAAUCGCUAGUAA
This 415-nucleotide ribosomal RNA is filed under the name uncultured bacterium. RNAcentral's name for it is "bacterial SSU rRNA". It matches the Rfam family "Bacterial small subunit ribosomal RNA", at positions 917 to 1341 of the family's 1533-position model. The record is from RNAcentral.